This is a long non-coding RNA of Dicentrarchus labrax (European seabass), 9835 nucleotides long. RefSeq lists it as uncharacterized. The transcript has 2 exons. Lineage: Eukaryota; Metazoa; Chordata; Actinopteri; Moronidae. The record is from RefSeq and is a predicted model, not a curated record.
UGUCCACAGGCACUGUCUGUUACUCCCGCACCCAGGAGAGAGAGCUCCCAGUCAGGCUUUGAGCUCGGCAGGAGAGCCCCCAGACAGUCUGGAUGAAAGGGGGAGCCUCACCGGCAAGAUCAAUCCUCUCUGAGAGGAAGAGAGAAAAAGAGGGGUCGAAAUAAAGAAAGGAGUCGGAGAAUAGGAAGAGGAGAGCAAGUGAAAAAAAGAGAGGAGAACAACUCCAGCCGACUGAGCACAGAGAAACAGGCUUUGGGCUAAUGAAGACUGUGCCACUCGUAGAAAAAGCACACAGCAAAACAAAGCCCACUAGAUCCUCGCUAUCAAUAUUUGAGACACCCAUUGAAGAAAAACCGCAUUCUUCUCCAAAACAAGGUCGGAGCUGAGCGCCACCCUGGUGAGUCGAGGUUGUGCCGAGUUCGGCUCUGACGUUUGUAGGUGUUCAAUCCAGAAACUUAAGGAUCAGUGCAGCCCACGUCUGUGAGGAUGGAUCAGGUCUGUUGUUUUAUUUGACUUCACAGAAAUCUCAUAUUAAAAGAAUACAUCUGCAGCUAUUCUAUAAUAUACUAUAAUAUUCUAAAAUAGUGAAGUUACUGGGGGCUAUUUUUAGUGGCGGAUUAAUCUACAUUUGGGGAUCUAGUGAGUAUUUAGGACAGCAGGACAGAGUAUAGAUAAACUGUCUCUGUUCAUGGUUAUGAAGGAACAUGUAACUGUUGCACUGCAGUGUGGCUCACUGAUGUGUUUUUAACAGUUUUUGGACAACAAUGAAACAUUUUUUUGUUAAUGAAAUGAACACUUUGGUUUGACUCUGUAUAUGGGAUAUGUUGACUAUAAAAAUACAAGAUAUCACCAGACCCAUGCUUUAAGAGGUAUACAGGAUGUGGCAGCCUUGAUUUAAAAAAAAAAGGAAAACAAAUCCCCAACUGAAAUGUGUUAAUAUGAAAAGGAACGCUGACUCAAGAACAGCGGUAUGGUUCUUUACAAAUUAGAAUAAAAUUCCUUUCCAAAUGUCCUGUUUUCAUAAAUCUGCACAUAAAUAUCCUGAGUGGAGAAGCCAGAGAUUGAAAGAAAAAGUGCAGAUAUAUCACAAAAUGAUUUUGCAAAAAAGUUGACAUAAGGAACAAAUGUGGAUGCAAUAAAAGGUGAUAAAAAGGUUUACAUAGGCCUAUACACUAGAUGUUGCAGUACCUGCUGCUGCAGCUUCUGUUGUAGUCAAGGCUGUACCUCCAGCCACAUCCUAAACUAGAUACUAAAACUUUGGUAAAAGUAGGUUUAUAUCAUUUGAAAAAACAGAUUUUGACAGUACAGUCCCGUUGCUACAUUACUCAUCCUUAAAAGCUACUAGGCGCCUCCUGUCUGACCCCUGCAGCCCUCCUGGCUCUGUGAGGAUUGGAUCUGUGAGAAGUCCCGGCUCAUGAUCAGCAGAGCGAGAUGUGGAGAAGGUGAACAAGUGCUGGGCCGGCAUGAUGGCAGGCACCGCUGCUCCUGCCCUGAGACACGAGCAGCACACUGUCUGUCUGAGCUCAGCAGCUGGACUGCUGUCAGUCUGCGUGCAGGUGUCUGUCACUCUCUCUGGCUGAAGCCUGAGAUGCUUACUGCCUCUUUCUCUCCUUUUUUCAUUGUUCCUUUUGCACACGUAUACCUCACCUUAAGAGCCGAUACUGAAGCCAGGUGCUUUUAAAAUCUUUUUGCGACUUGGCAACUUUCUUAUUUUCUAUCUUUGUACUUCCAUCUGGUCCUCCUCUCCCUAUAUAUACACACAUUGACUUUAGUUUCUAAUCUGAAUUUAUUUUCUUUUUUUUUUAAUGCAGCAUGGUCAAACAAGUUAUCAUAGCACACAUAUUCAUCAUUGUUAUGUCAUUAGGUCUCUUAUUUUGUAUUAUAGUUCAGGGCAACCUGCGGCUCUGGAGCCCCUCUCCAGUGGCUCACUAUGGCUUUGACAAAAAAUAAGGUGGAAAUGGAAAACAGUUAUCUUUUAACUUUUUUUAUUUAUCACUGUUGUAAUGAUUGUUACAUUCUCCAAUUGUAAUUGUGCCAUCAGGCCCCCAAGCUGUGGAACAGCCUUUCAGAGAAGAUUAGGAUAGCUAAUUCUAUCACUUCAUUUAAGUCUUCUUAAAAUGCACUCUUCUUUUAAUUAUAUUUAUUUUUAUGUAUUGCUCAGUUUUACAGUGUUAUUGCUUAUUCUAUAUAUUGUUACUGAUAGUGCUAUAGUCUUAGGGCAAUGUUUGAUGUUUGUUAUGUUUGUGAAGUAAUCCAAAAACUACAAUCAGAUUUUUUUUGUAAUCCAAUGGAUUAUGUUACUCAUUUAAAAAAAAAAAGCCAUCUAAUUUGUAUUCAGAAACUGACUACAUUGCAAAGUAAUCUCAAAGUAAUUCUAUUUAGUUUAUUAUCUAUUAUCUAUUUAUUUUCAUACUCUUGGUUAUUAUUUGAUUAAUUUAGUUGGUGUAAUGUUCAAUUGUAAAUGGACUGUACUUAUAUAGCAACUUUCUAGGCUUGCAACCACUCAAAGUGCCAUACACUACAUAUCACAUUCACACACCGAUGGCACAGCAUCAGGAGCAAUUUGGGGUUCAGGAUCUUGUUUAAGGACACUGCACUGCAGCAGGAGAAGCCAGGGAUCAAACCACCAACCUUCUGAUUGGUGGAAAACCCGCUCUACCUUAAAUUUCCCGGUUGUGGGAUCAAUAAAGGAUUAUUUGAUUUUAUGGUAUGUUCUGGAAGCAGUCAGCUGACGUGUACUGUACAGGAUUUGCUGUUAGAGGGCUGAACAGGAAAUAAUCACUGGCAUGGCUCUUUAAUUUUGGGUGUAAAAGGAACUGCUGUGGAUGUGGGCUUCUUUUAUUCACCACUAAAAUCACUGAGGACCUCUGCCUCUCUGCCUUCACCACUUCCUUCACCGCUGUCAUCAGCACAGCAACACAGGUGAACCAGUCCACUGCCUAAUUAGAGGGUCAGAGAGGAAAGAAGGAGCAGCAAUUUAACACAGACCUGAUUUCCUUACGGUCCUUCAUCCCACUGUGCUCAGGCAGGGACAACCCAGAGAGAACCAUUCAGCAGUUUAUGCGCCUACGCAACAGGCAGCCAACUUCUAUUCAAACACACAGAGAACAACGUGCAGGAGCUGUUAUACAUAGAGGGGGAGCUGGGAGAGAGGAAAACUAAAGGGCAUUUAAAGGUUAAAAGCAAUCUGGGUUGGGAUUAGGUGAGCAGUGUCAAUACAUUUAGGAGUAGCUGGCUCCCAUCCUGCAAUCUGCUAAACAGCUUAUUAUCCUGGCUGAGUAACUUUCACACCCUGGUAGCUACACUGCAAAAAAGGAAUCUCAAGAAAUUAAAAAAGCCUUGUUUCUGGUAAAUGAGUCUUCUUUUGUGUCUAAAAAGAAAAGUAAUUGUCAGCAUGUGUUGCACUAGAAAGUAAUCUUGUUUUAAGAAAAUAUAUCUAACUGACUUAAAAAGAUAUGACAACUAAUACUGAGCUAGAUAAAACCAGUAAAAACAAUGGUUUGCAUAAUAUCCCAGAAGGGGAGGAGGUCACGGGGCAGACCGAGGACCAGGUGGAAAGAUUAUAUUUCAACACUGGCCUGGGAAUGCCUCAGGAUCCCCCAGUCAGAGUUGGCCGGGAAAAGGGAAGUUUGGGGUCCUCUGCUGGACUUGCUACCCCUACGCCCCGAUCCCGGAUAAGCGGAUGAAGAUGAGAUGUAUUAUUUAAUAAUUCAGUGGCUAGAUUUUUAUACUGUGAAAACAAAUGCUUUGGCUCAACAAAAAAAUUAACAUAACACACAACAGUUUGCAUCAAUCCGUUUGAGUAAUGACAACUUGAAAUGAAACUAAGUUUGGGGAAUUAGCUUUUUCUCCACAAUCAAAGAUAUUUUAAAGUACCACUUAAUAAUUGGUAGCAUACAUUUUUUUUUUGUUUUGUUUAUUAAGGGACACUGUAAAACCAGAUAGGUUAAUUUAACUUCACUGAAAAUUAGAAUCAGAAUCAGAAUCGGGUUUAUUGCCAAGUACGUUUUCACACAUACAAGUAAUUUGUCUUGGUGCAUUGGUGCAUAAAAAUCACACAAAUAUAAAGUAAAAAUUUAAAUAAAUAAAGAUAAGGAUAAAGAUAGAAAGAUCCAAAACUGUACAGGAAAGAUAUGUGCAGGACAUAAAAACCAAUGGGAGUGCAUUAAUGUAAUGCAUAUAUACAGGGUGGGUAUUAAGAGUAAUAAUAAAGAUUACUUAAAAUGUUCAAUGUAAUCCAUUUUAAACAAGAAAUUUUGUUCAAAUACUUAAUUAUUACCUUACAGUGUAAUUACAAUACACAACUAGUUUUUCUACAUUAUUUAUUUAUCAACACAACUCAUCAAAAUAAUGUUUGAGUUAAGAGGUUUUGGCUUACCCCAUUUUUUAAAUUUUUUUUAUUGUUCAAUACAAGAAAAUUUGAUUAUGUUUAAGAAUAUUUGGCUAGUUUCUAGAAGGGCUGUUUUUGCAGUGGGUGACACUCUUUAUAACCCUAAAGAGUGGUGCAGGCCACUUUUACACAAGUUCCCACAGCAGCUGAAUCCUGCCUCCGGAAACCUUUCCACAGUUGAGAUGAAAAAUAUUUCUGAUCAGAUUUACAAUAAAAUAUGUUGGAGACAGCAGACAGAGGAGUUACUGUCCUCACUGCUGCUGCCUGCUCUUUCCUACACUGUCCCCGGCUGCUCUACGCCAGCACUAUAAAAUAUUAUUGCUGAUCAUAAUUCUGAUGUACAGCAGGAGUCAAUGAGGACUUUUUGUUGGUAACUUAGAAUGCAAAACAGAAACAGCAAAAUGUGAUUGAAUCAGAGUUAAUAAUAUACUGAGUUUGAGUCUAAGGGUUUGUUGAAAAAGAAAAUAUUUUUAGCUCUUGCAGCAACUGCUGAGAAAAAACAACAACUGCUGCAAAGUCACUAGGGGCCACCAAAGCUUCAUGGGGGGUUGUAAGGGCCUUCUUGAUUUUUAGGCGUACUAGAAAACAUAUGCAUAUAAUAUGUGGGAAUCUAGGGGAUCGAUGGAUAGGCUAAGUUACAUGAUAUGGUCACAUGAUUAACAGGUAGUCAAGAAGUAAUAAAAGGUUUUCCGGUAGUUUUUCUCAGUAGAGAGCCCUUUGACUCCUGCACCUUGCUUUGGUGGACUCUCAUGUAGGUAUGCAGACUUCAUUUUGUCGUUACUUAUUCUGUCAGCGUUUGUAAUGACUGCAGCUUAAGGUUGAUUUUAUGAUUAUGGUCCCACUAGAGCGAUAGCCAGACUACGGUUUUGAUUAGUGCUAUCCCUUUGUUUGUGUUUCCUUUAUGCGACCAUGUGUUAUUUGUUUCAGUUUAUAACUGAUGCGACCACCAAAAAGCUGCUGUGGCUAUAGAGACCAGAGACAUGGGUAAAUAAUGUGCCUAUCUGUGUGUUUUAAUGUUUUUAGUCUUUCGAUAUUUAUAAUGUUUGUUUUAUAUGUGUAGCUCUGGAAUCUCUCCUUCCUCUUCCUGCAUUACUGUCUUUACUGACAUUUUACAUAUGUACAAUAUACUAUAAUAUUUGGACUGGUAACUAAUGUGUUUUAUUUGUUUUCUCAAAGGGACCGGUUUUUCCUAUUUUUUUUUUUCCAGCUGUCUGGUGGUUGUUUCCUAUGCCUCACCAUACUGGGAAUUGAGGUUUAUAUGUAGUAGCAUAGGCCAGGUGUUAAGACAUACUGCGUAUCGUAUUUUUGGUUGCUAAUUGUAAUCAAUGCAGGGUGCUCUCCUCUCUUCUGUGCAUCCACAGCUUGACUCUGUACAAGGCUGGGCCAGAGUCAACACACUGCUUCAUUACCGUCGUGGGACUACAUUGGCUGACACUCCAACUCCGACACUGCAUGAUACUUUAUAGUGUAUAUUAUAGGUGUGUGUUGUGUGUGUGUGUGUGUGUGUGUGUGUGUGUGUGUGUGUGUAGUGCAUGCUUCCAUUUUUUUGUGUUGGGCCUGCUGUCACUCUUUUUGUCUCCCACAGGAUUGCUGGGGUGGUGUGUAUGAGCAGACUGACCCUACUACUGUGAGAGAGUAAACUCCUUUUUACCAUCUAACUAUUUAUCUGUCUUCUAAUUCACCUUAUUGACUCUUGAUAUUUUCAAUUUUAUAUGAAUUGUUAUCUUGUAAUAAAAUAUAACUUAUUUUUGCAUACUAUCUGCCACCUACCAAUUGCUCCUGUUCGGGGAAGUCAUAGACUGACAUCAUCAUUGGCUACAUGAUAUACUUAUGAAGAUAUUGAAGGUUUAAGGGUUCCUCCUAUCCCUCAUCAGGUUGUCAGGUUACAGAGAGUAUUCCCUAUAUUGAGUACCACAUAUAUUUCUCUAAAUCACUCAUUUUUUAAAGUUACGUAAAGUAACUUACAACCUUUUCCUAAUCAUAACCAAGUAGUUUUUGUGCGUAAACCUAACCAAACUGAAACUGUUUCACCACGUUAACCACGCAAGCUUUACUUGAAAGUGUAACCAGAUGCUGCAUUUUUAUUAUUGCUAAUCUGACUGCAGAUAACUGCAGAUGACUGUGAUUUACAAUACUGUGGGCAGAAGCACUGAGUGAGAGUCAAGCAGCAGCUCUCAGAGAUGUCAACUAGAUUUAGUUGACAAUAAUUAUGUUAUUUAACCACAGAUCCUCUCCAGACAUGUAUUUAAACAAUAUACAAAUAGUCUGUCGAACAAGAAUGUGUGUCUGAUAUGUUUUUUCUGAAAUAAUGUCCACAUUCAAAUCCUUAAAAAGACAUCAUCUUCUACCUCAUGGAAAUUCCAGAAUCACUGAAUAUACAAAUAUUGUUCUAAAGUUUUGCUGCUGGACACAAGAUGUCUCCUACUUCUCAGUGGAUGUGCACUGGUGGAUCACACUAAAGGUCUAGUGUGUAGGAUUUAGUGGCAUCUAGUGGUCUAGUUGCCGAUUGCAAGGCCAUUGCUUCCCCCUCCCCUGCCAAGCGUGAAGGAGAAACUACGGUGGUUGUGAAGCAUGCAAAAAACACCAAGGCCACUAUUUAGAGCCGGAGUUUGGUUUGUCUGUUCUGGGCUACUGACAGUUCAACAUGGCGGGCUCCAUGAAAGUUGACUCGGGGCGUCUGUAGAUUAAAAACAGCUAAUUUUAAGGUAACAAAAACACAAUAAUUCUUAUUUCACUGUUCAUUCCACAAUGAAGUCCUUAUUUCCGUGGUCCAGUUCAAACUGUGUAGGUCAAUACGUCAGAAACCAACUAUUUGCAACAGUUAUCACUUGAUAAUAGUGUUACAGACUUGUUUGCACAUGUACUGAACACCUCAACAUUUGUAUAUCAACCAUGGUUUGUAUCAAUCUGGUUGGUUCUAGAAGCGGCACAGAGUGGCAGCUUGACGCAACAGCUCCCACUCCGCCUCUUAUUUUUUUGCCUUAAAUCUUACUACUUCUUUAUUCCUUCUUAAACAGCACUGUGUUUAUUGUUGUAAACAGACCUCCAGUGUUGGUAGUUAAUUUUUUACUUUUUUAGCCGUAGUUGAAGUUUGGACACAAGUGGACACAACAACCACCACACAACAAAACACCGGAGGUUAUUCACGUGAGGACUUCCUACGGUAUCAGGAUUUACGUGUCGCAUGCCUGAGGGAGAUCCCGGUGGAGUUAAGGAGACGAAGGAGAGAAACCAGAGCAGACACGUUGGUGAGGACCAAGAAGACGGUGGCGGUGGAGAUACAAGCCAUGUCUUCCCUCGGUUGUCAUGGGAAACGUACACUCGCUAAACAACAAGACGGACGAGCUCUCGGCCCUGGUCAACGGACAGCGAGAGUAUCUGCAGUGCAGCAUAUUAUGUCUGACGGAGACAUGGCUGAAUGACAUUACACCAGACUGUUCAGUGGAACUAGCCGGCUUUUCACUAGUUCGGGCAGACAGGAGGAAACGGUAAAAAGUCUGGAGGAGGGCUCGCUGUCUUUGUGAACUCUAAAUGGUGUAACCCUGGACAUGUUGUCAAGAAGGCAGAAAUCUGCACACCUGAUAUUGAACUGCUGGCCAUAAGGCCAUACUAUCUGCCCCGUGAGUUUGUUUACAUUCCUCCAUCGGCAGUAGCGGCGCACGCCUGUGACGUCAUCCACUCCACCGUUGCAGACCUGCAGACACGUCAUCCCAGGGAAGCUGAAAGCCAUCAUGGACAACCCCUGUCAUCCUCUCCACGCUGAGCUGAGGAGCAUCUUCAGCUACAGACUGACCCAGCCCCGUACCUCAAAGCAGUUUGGAGGCUCAUUUUUACCAUCAGCCAUCAGACUCCACAACGCCACAGCACCCAGUAACUCCAACCCCAGCAGACAAAGACUGGCUUAGACUGCACUAUUUAUAUUUAAUUUCCACUUUAGUAGUUUUAGUUUAGUUUUAGUUUUAGUCAAGUUUAAUAUUCUGCUUAUAUUUUGGACUCCAUGUCCUACUUGAACAACAAAUAGUGUAUAUACUUUAAUUUAUAGUUUUUAUAUCUUCUAAUAUUAAUAAUAUUAGCAAUAUUUUUCUGUGAUAUUCUUUGUUUUCUGUUUUUGCGCUGCUUUUCCUUAUUGCUGCUGUGUCAACCUGAAUUUAUCCUUAGGGGGAUAAAUAAUAAAGGAAUUAUCUAUCUAUGGAUCAGAUGUGAAAGGUGUUUGCAUGUUAGGAUAAAUCCAGAGAGGAUUAUCAGUUCUACACAGCUGUAACAUCUGUAAGCUCAUUGCUUUGGUUUUGCAGCAUAUUUACUCACUGCCCUUGAUUUACUGUUUAUAUUUGUCUUAUUAUUAGUUUAUUGCCAGUCAUCUUUCAAAGACUUUCAGUUUCACUAACCUGUAUGAACAGUUUGUUGGUUUGUUUGAUUGAUCAGCAUUGUGUCCAGCAGCAGCAGGCAGAGGUUUUCAGUGAAAAAGCUCUUAAAACCCACUGUAAAGCACCAACAGCACACACAGUCAGAGACCAGCUGACGAGCCCGAUAUAUUUCUCAGGGUUUGGUGACCAAAAACAGCUAAAACGGAGAGAGAACAUUGGCCUUCUAUUCAAUUUAAUUCAAUUUUAUUUGUAUAGCGCCAAUUCACUCUACAAAUAGAGCAGGUCUAGACCGAACUCCUGGUAGCCCCUGGUCCAAACAGGGCCAAUAUGUAUUGUCAUAACAUUAAUAAAAACAUCUUUCUAUUAAAUGACCCUAUUUGGACACAUAUCUUAUCAUUGAUUAUUUCUGUUAAUAUCUCUUUAAAGUAUGUUAUAUUGGAUCUGUUUAGCACAUGGAACAUUGCCAACACACCUACAUGAUUUAACCAUAUGUGGCUGCAGCGGGAAUAAAUAGGACUGAAUUGAAUUGAGUCAUGUUGGUGAUGCAUUUUAUUUUUCUUUCAUUUAUUACCUGGCUGCUUUGUGGCCAGUAGCCAACACUAAUGCAUUAGGUGGGAGAUCAUUAAAGAGACUAUUACCUCGCUGUUUCUUCGGCAGACAGUGGAUGAGAAUCACAUUUUCUAUUAUGAAUGGAGCCAACGACCAAUCUGGGGUGAAUUUCUGCUUCAUAAUAUAUUUCUCUCCCUCUCCCCUACUCUGCCGUUAGCUCUCUCUGCCUCUCUCACUCUUUAUCUCCUCAGUUUCGUGCCUACUGGAUAUCCCAUCUAUUUCCCAGGCCCUGAUUUUAAUUUCCUGUCCGCUGUCAGUUAUAGACCGUCUCCACGGCAGAGAGCAGGAGAACACAGAGAAUAAGAAAGAGGAGACCCACAGCAGUAACUACCCGCUUGAUGUUUCCCUGGGACCCGUCCAGCUCUGUUCUAACCUCGCAGGGGACAUUGUUAGAGAGAAAUAGAAAAAGAGGCCGGAACCAUAUUUUUCAUUUACAUUGUCUGCAGAAGAAUAAAAUAUUGAUUAUGAUUGA